RNAcentral lists this ribosomal RNA (478 nucleotides) under uncultured organism. RNAcentral's name for it is "partial 16S ribosomal RNA". It matches the Rfam family "Bacterial small subunit ribosomal RNA", at positions 332 to 801 of the family's 1533-position model. The record is from RNAcentral.
UACACUCCUGCGGGAGGCAGCAGUGGGGAAUUUUGGACAAUGGGCGAAAGCCUGAUCCAGCAAUGCCGCGUGUGUGAAGAAGGCCUUCGGGUUGUAAAGCACUUUCAGCGGGGAGGAAGGCGAUAAGGUUAAUAACCUUGUCGAUUGACGUUACCCGCAGAAGAAGCACCGGCUAACUCCGUGCCAGCAGCCGCGGUAAUACGGAGGGUGCAAGCGUUAAUCGGAAUUACUGGGCGUAAAGCGCACGCAGGCGGUCUGUCAAGUCGGAUGUGAAAUCCCCGGGCUCAACCUGGGAACUGCAUUCGAAACUUGCAGGCUAGAGUCUUGUAGAGGGGGGUAGAAUUCCAGGUGUAGCGGUGAAAUGCGUAGAGUUCUGGAGGAAUACCGGUGGCGAAGGCGGCCCCCUGGACAAAGACUGACGCUCAGGUGCGAAAGCGUGGGGAGCAAACAGGAUUAGAUACCCUUGUAGUCCCAUGAU